AGUGAACGCUGGCGGUAGGCCUAACACAUGCAAGUCGAACGGCAGCACAGUAAGAGCUUGCUCUUACGGGUGGCGAGUGGCGGACGGGUGAGGAAUACAUCGGAAUCUACUUUUUCGUGGGGGAUAACGCAGGGAAACUUACGCUAAUACCGCAUACGACCUACGGGUGAAAGCAGGGGAUCUUCGGACCUUGCGCGAUUGAAUGAGCCGAUGUCGGAUUAGCUAGUUAGCGGGGUAAAGGCCCACCAAGGCGACGAUCCGUAGCUGGUCUGAGAGGAUGAUCAGCCACACUGGAACUGAGACACGGUCCAGACUCCUACGGGAGGCAGCAGUGGGGAAUAUUGGACAAUGGGCGCAAGCCUGAUCCAGCCAUACCGCGUGGGUGAAGAAGGCCUUCGGGUUGUAAAGCCCUUUUGUUGGGAAAGAAAAGCAGCAGGUUAAUACCCCGCUGUUCUGACGGUACCCAAAGAAUAAGCACCGGCUAACUUCGUG
RNAcentral lists this ribosomal RNA (492 nucleotides) under uncultured bacterium. RNAcentral's name for it is "partial 16S ribosomal RNA". It matches the Rfam family "Bacterial small subunit ribosomal RNA", at positions 29 to 507 of the family's 1533-position model. The record is from RNAcentral.